Molecule: long non-coding RNA, 391 nt
Filed under: Gallus gallus (chicken)
Lineage: Eukaryota; Metazoa; Chordata; Aves; Galliformes; Phasianidae
Source: RNAcentral
AGUACAUAACAAUAGUUGUAAUAAGAAUAUAAUCAAGUGGGAAAACUGUUUGAAGAACAGGUAGCAGCAUAUUCAAUGGAUUGGUCAAAUUGGUUCCUAAAAUUAUAAAUCCAGAGUCAAAGCCAGCUGAAUGUAGAGCUUUGUCUAAAUUUGACAAGAAGAGAGAGACAGUGAAGAGCAGUGCCACAAUGAUGAAGAACACUCCCCAUACAAUCUUCAGAGGUCGGAUAGCUUCACAGAACUUCAACCACCAACUUUUCUCAAUGGUUUCCAGAUGCCUCUCUCUCCUUCGAAGCGUCCUUAGUCUCUCUUCUAGUUGUUGAACAGCUCGUCUAUCCCUUGAUGAUAGAGGUCGACCAUCUCUGCACUUUGACUUAAUCCGUAAUAUUCG